CGGAGGGGGCUAGCGUUGUUCGGAAUUACUGGGCGUAAAGCGUACGUAGGCGGCUUUGUAAGUUAGAGGUGAAAGCCCGGGGCUCAACCCCGGAAUUGCCUUUAAGACUGCAUCGCUUGAACGUCGGAGAGGUGAGUGGAAUUCCGAGUGUAGAGGUGAAAUUCGUAGAUAUUCGGAAGAACACCAGUGGCGAAGGCGGCUCACUGGACGACUGUUGACGCUGAGGUACGAAAGCGUGGGGAGCAAACAGGAUUAGAUACCCUGGUAGUCCACGCCGUAAACGAUGAUAACUAGCUGUCCGGGCACUUGGUGCCUGGGUGGCGCAGCUAACGCAUUAAGUUAUCCGCCUGGGGAGUACGGCCGCAAGGUUA
This 371-nucleotide ribosomal RNA is filed under the name uncultured organism. RNAcentral's name for it is "bacterial SSU rRNA". It matches the Rfam family "Bacterial small subunit ribosomal RNA", at positions 526 to 896 of the family's 1533-position model. The record is from RNAcentral.